GUGCAGCAGGCGAGAAUCCUUCGCAAUGCGGGAAACCGCGACGAGGGGACUCCCAGUGCCUACGCUCAGCGUAGGCUGUUCCCGAGCCUAGAAAGCUCGGGGAGUAAGGGCUGGGUAAGACGGGUGCCAGCCGCCGCGGUAAUACCCGCAGCCCGAGUGGUGGCCACUAUUAUUGGGCCUAAAGCGUCCGUAGCCGGCCCGGUAAAUGCCUGGGUAAAUCGUGAGGCCUAACCUCACGAAUUCCGGGUAGACUGCCGGGCUAGGGACCGGAGGAGGGAGAGGGGUACUCCAGGGGUAGGGGUGAAAUCCUGUAAUCCCUGGAGGACCACCGGUGGCGAAGGCGCUCUCCUAGGACGGGUCCGACGGUGAGGGACGAAAGCCAGGGGAGCGAACCGGAUUAGAUA
RNAcentral lists this ribosomal RNA (404 nucleotides) under uncultured microorganism. RNAcentral's name for it is "bacterial SSU rRNA". It matches the Rfam family "Archaeal small subunit ribosomal RNA", at positions 330 to 735 of the family's 1478-position model. The record is from RNAcentral.